Molecule: ribosomal RNA, 484 nt
Filed under: uncultured Nocardioides sp.
Lineage: Bacteria; Bacillati; Actinomycetota; Actinomycetes; Propionibacteriales; Nocardioidaceae
Description: partial 16S ribosomal RNA
Source: RNAcentral
CACGUAGUUGGCCGGUGCUUCUUCUGUACCUACCGUCACUCUCGCUUCGUCGGUACUGAAAGAGGUUUACAACCCGAAGGCAGUCAUCCCUCACGCGGCGUUGCUGGAUCAGGCUUUCGCCCAUUGUCCAAUAUUCCCCACUGCUGCCUCCCGUAGGAGUCUGGGCCGUGUCUCAGUCCCAGUGUGGCCGGUCACCCUCUCAGGCCGGCUACCCGUCGAAGCCUUGGUGAGCCAUUACCUCACCAACAAGCUGAUAGGCCGCGAGCACAUCCUCCACCGCCAGAACUUUCCACCACCCCCCAUGCGAGGAAUGGUCAUAUCCGGUAUUAGCCACCGUUUCCGGUGGUUAUCCCAAAGUGAAGGGCAGAUUACUCACGUGUUACUCACCCGUUCGCCGCUCGUGUACCCCCGAAAGGGCCUUACCGCUCGACUUGCAUGUGUUAAGCACGCCGCCAGCGUUCGUCCUGAGCCAGGAUCAAACUCU